AGAGUUUGAUCCUGGCUCAGGACGAACGCUGGCGGUGUGCCUCACACAUGCAAGUCGAACGGGGUAGCAAUACCUAGUGGCGGACGGGUGAGUAACACGUGGGAAUCUGCCCUCAAGUGGUGAAUAACUGGCCGAAAGGCUAGCUAAUGUGCCAUACGUCGCAAGAUGAAAGUAGCAAUACGCUCGAGGAUGAGCCCGCG
Molecule: ribosomal RNA, 200 nt
Filed under: uncultured bacterium
Lineage: Bacteria
Description: partial 16S ribosomal RNA
Rfam family: Bacterial small subunit ribosomal RNA
Source: RNAcentral